GGAUAUGGUGUAGCGGUAACACACAGGACUUUGACUCCUGCAUCGUAGGUUCGAACCCUGCUAUC
This 65-nucleotide transfer RNA is filed under the name bovine gut metagenome. It matches the Rfam family "tRNA". Rfam says of the family: Transfer RNA (tRNA) molecules are approximately 80 nucleotides in length. Their secondary structure includes four short double-helical elements and three loops (D, anti-codon, and T loops). The record is from RNAcentral.